Molecule: ribosomal RNA, 301 nt
Filed under: uncultured bacterium
Lineage: Bacteria
Description: partial 16S ribosomal RNA
Rfam family: Bacterial small subunit ribosomal RNA
Source: RNAcentral
CAGCAGCCACGGGAAUACGUAGGGUGCAAGCGUUAAUCGGAAUUACUGGGCGUAAAGCGUGCGCAGGCGGUUCUAUAAGACAGAUGUGAAAUCCCCGGGCUCAACCUGGGAACUGCAUUUGUGACUGUAGAGCUCGAGUACGGUAGAGGGGGAUGGAAUUCCGCGUGUAGCAGUGAAAUGCGUAGAUAUGCGGAGGAACACCGAUGGCGAAGGCAAUCCCCUGGACCUGUACUGACGCUCAUGCACGAAAGCGUGGGGAGCAAACAGGAUUAGAUACCCGCGUAGUCCCUGUCUCUUAUAC